UACAGAGGUCCCGAGCGUUGUCCGGAAUUAUUGGGCGUAAAGAGCUCGUAGGCGGCUUGUCGCGUCGGAUGUGAAAGCCCGGGGCUUAACUCCGGGUCUGCAUUCGAUACGGGCAGGCUAGAGUUCGGUAGGGGAGAUCGGAAUUCCUGGUGUAGCGGUGAAAUGCGCAGAUAUCAGGAGGAACACCGGUGGCGAAGGCGGAUCUCUGGGCCGAUACUGACGCUGAGGAGCGAAAGCGUGGGGAGCGAACAGG
Molecule: ribosomal RNA, 253 nt
Filed under: uncultured bacterium
Lineage: Bacteria
Description: partial 16S ribosomal RNA
Rfam family: Bacterial small subunit ribosomal RNA
Source: RNAcentral